RNAcentral lists this ribosomal RNA (772 nucleotides) under Melanomma japonicum. RNAcentral's name for it is "eukaryotic LSU rRNA". It matches the Rfam family "Eukaryotic large subunit ribosomal RNA", at positions 114 to 905 of the family's 3401-position model. Lineage: Eukaryota; Fungi; Ascomycota; Dothideomycetes; Pleosporales; Melanommataceae. The record is from RNAcentral.
UUUGAAAUCUGGCUCUUUCAGGGUCCGAGUUGUAAUUUGCAGAGGGCGCUUUGGCGUCGGCAGCAGCCUAAGUUCCUUGGAACAGGUCAUCAUAGAGGGUGAGAAUCCCGUAUGUGGCUGCUUGUCUUCACCGUGUAAAGCCCCUUCGAUGAGUCGAGUUGUUUGGGAAUGCAGCUCUAAAUGGGAGGUAAAUUUCUUCUAAAGCUAAAUAUUGGCCAGAGACCGAUAGCGCACAAGUAGAGUGAUCGAAAGAUGAAAAGCACUUUGGAAAGAGAGUCAAAAAGCACGUGAAAUUGUUGAAAGGGAAGCGCUUGCAGCCAGACGUGCCUGUAGUUGCUCAUCUGGGGAUUUCCCCAGUGCACUCUUCUAUAGGCAGGCCAGCAUCAGUUCGGGCGGUUGGAGAAAGACCUGUGUCACGUAGCUCUCUUCGGGGAGUGUUAUAGGGCAGGUGGAAUGCAACCAGCCUGGACUGAGGUCCGCGCAUCUGCUAGGAUGCUGGCGUAAUGGCUGUAAGCGGCCCGUCUUGAAACACGGACCAAGGAGUCUAACAUCUAUGCGAGUGUUUGGGUGUCAAGCCCGAGCGCGUAAUGAAAGUGAACGGAGGUGGGAACCCCUCGGGGUGCACCAUCGACCGAUCCUGAUGUCUUCGGAUGGAUUUGAGUAAGAGCAUAGCUGUUGGGACCCGAAAGAUGGUGAACUAUGCCUGAAUAGGGUGAAGCCAGAGGAAACUCUGGUGGAGGCUCGCAGCGGUUCUGACGUGCAAAUCGAUCGU